Molecule: ribosomal RNA, 387 nt
Filed under: uncultured bacterium
Lineage: Bacteria
Description: bacterial SSU rRNA
Rfam family: Bacterial small subunit ribosomal RNA
Source: RNAcentral
GGCCACAUUGGGACUGAGACACGGCCCAAACUCCUACGGGAGGCAGCAGUGGGGAAUAUUGCACAAUGGGCGAAAGCCUGAUGCAGCGACGCCGCGUGAGCGAAGAAGUAUUUCGGUAUGUAAAGCUCUAUCAGCAGGGAAGAUAAUGACGGUACCUGACUAAGAAGCACCGGCUAAAUACGUGCCAGCAGCCGCGGUAAUACGUAUGGUGCAAGCGUUAUCCGGAUUUACUGGGUGUAAAGGGAGCGCAGGCGGUGCGGCAAGUCUGAUGUGAAAGCCCGGGGCUCAACCCCGGUACUGCAUUGGAAACUGUCGUACUAGAGUGUCGGAGGGGUAAGCGGAAUUCCUAGUGUAGCGGUGAAAUGCGUAGAUAUUAGGAGGAACACC